This 2722-nucleotide long non-coding RNA is filed under the name Sus scrofa (pig). Its description in RNAcentral is "lncRNA (ENSSSCG00005023149.1)". Lineage: Eukaryota; Metazoa; Chordata; Mammalia; Artiodactyla; Suidae. The record is from RNAcentral.
UUUUUUUUUUUUUUUUUUUUUUUUUUUUUUGCUUUUCAGGGGUGCACCUGCAGCACAUGAAUGUUCCCAGGCUAAGGGUCAAACCGGAGCUACAGCUGCUGACCUACACCACAGCAACGCUGGAUCUGAGCCACAUCUGAGACCUACACUGCAGCUUACAGCAAUGCCACCUCCUUAACCCACUGAGGGGGGCCAGGGAUGGAACCCACAUCCUCAAGGAUACUUGUCAGGUUUGUAACCACUGAGCCCCAGUGGGAACUCUAUAAAUGUAAUGUUUCUUAUAUCACUUUUGGAAGACCUGGGUUUCUAGACUCUGCUCUAAGUAGCUCAUUAACAGGAUUCUAUCUAGUUCAUCUCCCUAUACCUUAGGUCUUCAAAAGAAAAGCACUCUCAGGUUCCAACUAAAGCUUGAAUGUUUAUAAAUCAGGCAAGAGGAACUCUGAGUGUUCUAGUGAAGAUUUUUGUUUUGUUUUGCUUUUUUUCUUUUUAUGGCCGCACCUGCAGCACGUGGAAGUUCCCAGGCUAGGGGUCGAACUCGGAGCUACAGCUGCUGGCCUACACCACAGCCACACCAGCACUGAAUUUGAGCCAUGUACGAGACCUACACCACAUCUCACGGCUAUGCCAGAUCCUUAACCCACUGAGCGAGGCCAAGGAUGGAACCCUCAUCCUCGCGGAUACUUGUUGGGUUCAUAAUCGCUGAGCCACAAGGGGAACUACAAAGAUUUUUGUUUUUAAUGUUGGUGGCUUCCUUAACAACAUCCCCUCAUUCGGCGAGAUGUGUUCUAGUGCUUUCCAACAGCCCUGCGGUCACCUCUAGCCUCCUAUAAGGUAGAAAUUCAAAAUUUGGAAGAACUAAUGAUAGCUACCCACCUCAAAAUACUAAGAACAAGCAUCCUUUAGCUGCCAUGUACCACAUUUUUUUUCUGCAACGGAUCCUUCCUGCAGAAAGAUGUCUCGUGACUGGGAGAGCAGCUUUGGAGAGAUGUGUCCAGGAGAAGAAAUGACCCUUGAGCAUCAUUCUCUUUUAAGUGUAUGAUUUAGAUUAUAAAGACAGACAGAGGAAGAACUAAGAAUGUGGUACGUACGGACUUCUAAUUGCAAGUGCACCCCGGGAGGAGGUGGAAGAGGUGGGGUGUCAGUGAACUAAGCCUUCACUUAACCCAGCAGGGAGGCAAUAGAUGCCGCGUAAAGCUGAGACAUCACUUUGCAGCAGUUUAAGCAAAUGCUAUUUAAUGAUGUGGAAGCAACCACCAAAAGAACUAAAAACAAAAGUAGUUAAAUGUGGUUGCCUUAGGGGAGGGGAUCUGAGGUUGAGGAAGGAGUUUUCUUUUCCCUCUAAGACCUUCUGCCGUAUUGCAUUUUAUAAUCAUUUGUAAGGAUGUCCCUGGUUUUAGAAAAAGAAAACAAAAUUCUGCUUCCCCAGGAAGACACCAUCCUUGAGGGUGUUUCUGUUUCUGUGUUUCUGUUCCCCUACGUCUCAACCCCGGGGCUUCUGAUGAACAGGAUGUGGCGCCAAUGGAGAGGAGGGUGUGUUCACUGUUCAUGCCAGGGGGUUGGGGGGUAAGGGUGGGGACCGAACGAUCUUUCUAGAAGUGGGAGUGACUGUUCAGAAGUGCUCCAUGUUCUUUCAAAAAAGUACAUUUUCUGCAAACAGCUAGGAUCUAAACCAUCAAUAAUGAAGGUGGGGAAAUAGCCAGGCAUCAGAGCUCAUUUACAAGGGGAGUGAUUGCCAGGUAUGAUCUUGGCUAAUUGCUUGGAGUAAGGGGCCUAGGAAAGCAUCUGCAAAAGAAAACGCAAUCCUAGGGAGAGUGUGAAAAGUUUAGAUCUAGAUGUACCAGGUGUCUGUAUCCUAAGAGGCAUGGUCAUUUUCAGGUUGGAAGCCAGAGAUGGGCACAUGGGGGAUGGGAAGGCUAACAGGCUGGGCUGAGAAGACCCGAGUUCUGGCCGUGCCCCAAGCAACACCCGGCUGUGGCCUCUGAACUCCUUAUCGAUGGCCCUGCACAGAGCACAGGCAUAUGGGGUAACCGUGAUUACGCCAUUCUCUCCUCUCAGUUUCUGUCUGCUUAGCUGCACGUGUGAAUUUAACAAUUUCUCCUUCUAGAGUUGUUUUGAGGAUUCAGUGAGUUAAUACAGCAAAUGCACUGGAAUUCUGCAAGCACUUAACUGAUUUCCCUAGCUUGAGCUUCCCCAGGUUACAGCCUUUCAAUAACUUCCCAUUCCUGGGGCGUUACAUCCCAAUAUAACGUGAGCGACAACUGGGAGCCAUAGACGCGAUGCUAAAUAUUCUAGAAGCCACCCUUUAAAACAGUAACACGAAACAAGUCCCAUUAAUUUUAAUAAGAGCAUAUUGAUCGAAUAUAUUUUAUCUAAAAUAUUUUAAGUUUAAUAGAUAAUCCCCAUAGAAAAUUAUUAAUGGGACAUUUUACUUUCUUUCUUUCUUUUUUUUCUUACUAGGUCUCUGAAAUCCACUUACAAUGCACAUGAAUUUGGAUUUGGACUGGCCGAAUUCCAGGUGCUGAAAUGCCACAUGUGGCUGACUGCAGGCUACCACACUGAACUGUGUAGAUCUAGAUCUUCGUUCAGCCUCUCCAGAAGCCCUCAGAGUCUCUGGCCUCUUCUCACAGACUCCUCCCUCUGUCUCAGACACGCCGCCUACAACCGCCAACCCACUUUGCUGGGCUAACUUUCAAAUCAGGUCACUUCCUCCUGGAAAUUCCCC